RNAcentral lists this ribosomal RNA (465 nucleotides) under uncultured bacterium. RNAcentral describes it as "bacterial SSU rRNA". It matches the Rfam family "Bacterial small subunit ribosomal RNA", at positions 335 to 799 of the family's 1533-position model. The record is from RNAcentral.
ACUCCUACGGGAGGCAGCAGUGGGGAAUAUUGCACAAUGGGCGCAAGCCUGAUGCAGCCAUGCCGCGUGUGUGAAGAAGGCCUUCGGGUUGUAAAGCACUUUCAGUUGUGAGGAAGGUGGUGUCGUUAAUAGCGGCAUCAUUUGACGUUAGCAACAGAAGAAGCACCGGCUAACUCCGUGCCAGCAGCCGCGGUAAUACGGAGGGGGUUAGCGUUGUUCGGAAUUACUGGGCGUAAAGCGCACGUAGGCGGAUCGGAAAGUUGGGGUGAAAUCCGGGCUCAACCCGACGGCAUCCAAAACUAUCGGUCUAGAGUUCGAGAGAGGUGAGUGGAAUUCCGAGUGUAGAGGUGAAAUUCGUAGAUAUUCGGAGGAACACCAGUGGCGAAGGCGGCUCACUGGCUCGAUACUGACGCUGAGGUGCGAAAGUGUGGGAGCAAACAGGAUUAGAUACCCUGGUAGGCUCUG